Molecule: ribosomal RNA, 435 nt
Filed under: uncultured Corynebacterium sp.
Lineage: Bacteria; Bacillati; Actinomycetota; Actinomycetes; Mycobacteriales; Corynebacteriaceae
Description: bacterial SSU rRNA
Rfam family: Bacterial small subunit ribosomal RNA
Source: RNAcentral
GACGAACGCUGGCGGCGUGCUUAACACAUGCAAGUCGAACGGAAAGGCCCCCACUUUUUUGGUGGGGGUGCUCGAGUGGCGAACGGGUGAGUAACACGUGGGUGAUCUGCCCUGUACUUCGGGAUAAGCUUGGGAAACUGGGUCUAAUACCGGAUAGGACCAUGGUUUAGUGUCUCAUGGUGGAAAAAUUAUUGUUUUGGUGCAGGAUGAGCUCGCGGCCUAUCAGCUUGUUGGUGGGGUAAUGGCCUACCAAGGCGUCCACGGGUAGCCGGCCUGAGAGGGUGGACGGCCACAUUGGGACUGAGAUACGGCCCAGACUCCUACGGGAGGCAGCAGUGGGGAAUAUUGCACAAUGGGCGCAAGCCUGAUGCAGCGACGCCGCGUGGGGGAUGACGGCCUUCGAGUUGUAAACUCCUUUUGUUAGGGACGAAGCCA